This 234-nucleotide long non-coding RNA is filed under the name Elaeis guineensis (African oil palm). RNAcentral's name for it is "long non-coding RNA (EGUI_LNC035332)". The record is from RNAcentral. Lineage: Eukaryota; Viridiplantae; Streptophyta; Magnoliopsida; Arecales; Arecaceae.
ACUUUCAAUACUUACUUAGAUUAGUUUUUACUUUUGCUGUUACACAUUAUUUUCAUCACAUAAUCAUUUAAGUAAGAAGCACAUAUCUAUUUAAAAUUUUAAUUUGGUUAAAAUUUUUUAAAAUACUCAAUUCACCCCCCCUCUCUCUUGGAUAGCCAUACUUGGGCAACAUGAAGUAUAAACUAGUGGGAAAUGAGUCAAUUUAGCAUAGUUCAGGUGGCUUGGAUUGGGAGG